CUUAUAUAUUCUUGAUCAGCAUCAAUAGCCGAGUCGAUUGAGGCAUGUCUGUCUGUCAUUCUGGCUUUAACAUUGAUUAAAUCUGAUCCCACUUCGGUGAUCUGAUAGAUAUGGUUCUUUCCUACGGAAUGGCAUUUAUAUCUUUUAUCUAUUUAUACCCGGUACUCGAAGAAUAAAUAGGGUAUAUUGUAUUUGUACACAAAGUGAAUGUAUGUAACACACAGAAGGAAAUGUUUCCGACACCAUAAAGUAUAUAUAUUCGUGAUCAGCAACAAUAGCCGAGUCGAUUGAGCCAUGUCUGUCUGCCCGUCUGUCCGUCCGUCUUGUUGAGCGCCUGGAUCUCAGCGACCCCAAAAGCUAGAGCCACCAAAUUUUGCAUUCAGACUUCUGUAUGCUCAGACUGUUACAAGUGUAUUUCAAAAAUGAGCCACGUUCCCUUCCGCCCCCGCAAAGGGGCGAAAACCUCCCAAAUCUACAAUUUUGAAGAUAAAAGAAAACUAACGAGAAGGGACGUGUGAGACGCUUCUUACGCGUCACAACUUUUAUACCCGGCACUNNNNNNNNNNNNNNNNNNNNNNNNNNNNNNAUUUUUUAUGAUGGCCACAGCCUCGUAGUGUGUCUGACUACCAGAGUAGUUUUUGAAAACUUCGUACGCAUCUAGAGCAGAUUGUCUCCAAGACACAUAUUCCUCAUGAUUCCCGUUGAAAGUUGGUACUGAUUUUAUGAUAUCUAGUUUCACUUCACAUUUUAUACUAGUGUCAAUGGUCACUCUCUUAUAAGUUUCCACAUGAGGGACACCUACAGUUAGAGCGCUCACACUAUUUCUAACUUUUUCGAGUUCCCUGCUAAAUUCUGCACUCAGUCGUCGUUCCUGUUCGACGAGGGCUGUGUUGAUUGCGCCUUCUACUAACGCUUUUAUCAUGGCUGGGUCCAUUUUUAAUUGAUUCUGCACUGUUCUGACUGGUGGCUGGUACAAUAAGUCUAGGCUCUCGUCGCUGUCGUAUUCGACCUUGUUUCUGUAGUCCCAACUCAUAAACGAUCAGCGAAGGGGAGAUCAAAAUUCUCUCACAAGCUUUAUUUUUUCCGAACAGUCACUUACAUGUUAUUUUUCUUGGGGACGUGGAUCCUAAAUCCCGUUGGGCGCCAAUUAUCUUUAUGGCGCGUUUUUUAGUCCGCUCUUAGGAACGUGGAUCCUAAAUCCCGUUGGGCGCCAAUUAACUUAAUGUCGUAUUUGGUCCGAGCUGCGGUAUGCGUUGCGUUGGCUCCGGCGGCAGCGAUCGGGUUCCCGUGGCCCGCUCUUGUAGCGGGGGACGGUGGUUGCGGUUGGCAACUGAGUCUUCUACCGAAGAUUAUGUUGAGAGGGUAAUUGCCCUCUAUUUCGUUGGCCCUUAAGGCUCAACAAUAUGAUUAUAUCAAUACACGUUUUACGACUCGUGUCGGAGUUGAUAUGAACGCUCCGUUCAUUUAUUCGUCCAAUUCUAAACUAAAGCUUACUUCUAAACCUACACCGAAACCUAGCCGGCGAGCCGUCCGCGCUCACAAGAGAUAAGAGCCGCCUACGCAUAAACAAGAUCAUGCGAUCGCUGGCGCCCAAUCAGUUCACAGAGCCGCCCGCUGCAACGGCAUCUACUGCAUCGGCGCCCUCCGUAUCGGACUGGAUAAGUUAGGGCGGCACAUGAUAUUUCACAUUUCUUGUGCGCUAAGUUAGGGUGUUCCAUGUUAUUGCUUAUGUGUUAACUUA
Molecule: long non-coding RNA, 1741 nt
Filed under: Drosophila guanche
Lineage: Eukaryota; Metazoa; Arthropoda; Insecta; Diptera; Drosophilidae
Source: RNAcentral